Molecule: ribosomal RNA, 481 nt
Filed under: uncultured bacterium
Lineage: Bacteria
Description: partial 16S ribosomal RNA
Rfam family: Bacterial small subunit ribosomal RNA
Source: RNAcentral
GAUGAACGCUGGCGGCGUGCUUAACACAUGCAAGUCGAACGAAGCACUUUAUUUGAUUUCCUUCGGGACUGAUUAUUUUGUGACUGAGUGGCGGACGGGUGAGUAACGCGUGGGUAACCUGCCUUGUACAGGGGGAUAACAGUUGGAAACGGCUGCUAAUACCGCAUAAGCGCACGGCAUCGCAUGAUGCAGUGUGAAAAACUCCGGUGGUAUAAGAUGGACCCGCGUUGGAUUAGCUAGUUGGUGAGGUAACGGCCCACCAAGGCGACGAUCCAUAGCCGACCUGAGAGGGUGACCGGCCACAUUGGGACUGAGACACGGCCCAAACUCCUACGGGAGGCAGCAGUGGGGAAUAUUGCACAAUGGGCGAAAGCCUGAUGCAGCGACGCCGCGUGAGCGAAGAAGUAUUUCGGUAUGUAAAGCUCUAUCAGCAGGGAAGAUAAUGACGGUACCUGACUAAGAAGCUCCGGCUAAAUACGUG